This 305-nucleotide ribosomal RNA is filed under the name uncultured bacterium. Its description in RNAcentral is "bacterial SSU rRNA". It matches the Rfam family "Bacterial small subunit ribosomal RNA", at positions 335 to 655 of the family's 1533-position model. The record is from RNAcentral.
UCCCUACGGGAGGCAGCAGUGGGGAAUAUUGGGCAAUGGAGGAAACUCUUACCCAGCAAUGCCGCGUGAAUGAAGAAGGUCUUCGGAUUGUAAAGUUCUUUAAUUGGGGACGAAAAAAAUGACGGUACCCAAGGAAUAAGCCCCGGCUAACUACGUGCCAGCAGCCGCGGUAAUACGUAGGGGGCAAGCGUUAUCCGGAUUUACUGGGUGUAAAGGGAGCGUAGACGGCCAGACAAGUCAGAAGUGAAAGCCCAGGGCUCAACCCUGGGACUGCUUUUGAAACUGCCGGGCUGGAGUGCAGGAGG